RNAcentral lists this long non-coding RNA (1422 nucleotides) under Monodelphis domestica (gray short-tailed opossum). RNAcentral's name for it is "lncRNA (ENSMODG00000046262.1)". The record is from RNAcentral. Lineage: Eukaryota; Metazoa; Chordata; Mammalia; Didelphimorphia; Didelphidae.
CCCAUGUUGGUAAAAAUAUUUUCUUCACCUUUCAGCAAGCAGACAAGAAACAGAAUAUUUCUGCAUGCUCUGAAGGGAAGAGCAGCCCCCUCUAUUAUAUGCCAUCAGGGCUUUCCAGAAGCAAAUUCCCCAAGGCUCCACCUGGGCUGGCAACAAAGAGUGCCCUGUCUGUAGGCUAAGAAUUGGGCUCUCAUUGGCCAGACCCAGGGCUAAACUGUAGGGACUAUGGUUAACAUUUCAGGGUGAGCAUUAAUACCUUGGAAAUCAGAAAGAAAUGGAGAAAGUGUUAAUAAUGCAGAUUAAACUUAAAAGGGUUAAUUUUUUGGUUUUUAAACAUAGGCUUGGACCCAGACCCUUCUCUUCCUUCUCUCCCCAUCCUUAAGCAGUCCCUAUCCUCAAUGAGCUUACGUUGUAAUCGCACCAAAGGAGUCCCAAGCUUUAAGAGAAACCAAGUAGACAACGGUUUUGGUAAAGGGAGAGAGCAUGGCAGGUAUGAUAGGCAAUCAUGUAAAGCUUGGGGAUGGAAUGUUUUGAUGGAGUGUUUGAGGAACAGUAAGCCAUUAUCACUUGAUUGUUGAGUACAUGGAAGAGAAUCAAGUAUGAGAAAACUGGAAAGAUGAGAAGGGGCCAGGUUGUGAAGAGCCUUGAAUGCUAAACAGAGGGUUUUAUAUUUGAUCUUGGAGGUUCUGGGACACUGAUUUUAAACAGCUCUAACUUCCUGAUUCUACAAGUCUUCUUCCCUGAUUAAUUUCCUCUACCGCUGGUUACUCCUUUAUUGAGUACCUUUACAAAGAAGAAGUAUGGGAAGAGAAUUUGCAUUUAUAUGGCAACUAUUAUAUGUCAGACACUAAGCUAAGUGUUGUUUUUUUUUUUUUACAAUUAUCUCACAAUACCCCUGUGAGAUUCCGGGAUCUUCCCUCAAGAGUAAAGAGAGAGAGUCUCUUUCAGAAAAGUGGCUGCAGGAUGGCUGUAAAGGUCAUAGCUCCAGGCCUCCUCUUAGAUAAGAAUUCAAGAAAUAUAUUUCAAGUAUUGAUUGGUGCUGCCAUCUGAGCUCAGGAAUCACUUGCCUUCUUCAGAAUUGGAUCCAAUUCUCAAGUAUUCUUUCCUCAUGGUGGAAGCAAGGUGAAUGGAGAAAGGGGAACAGCUGUUGCUUGACACCAGUCAGUCAGUGGUCUAAAAAUGACCCAUUCAAUAUGACAUGCUUCCAUCAGAUGGACUUCUAAGGAAAGAAAAAUCCUUCAAUUCAAACAAGACAGAAAAAUGUGGAAAGAGAUGUUGUCAAUGUCAUUUCUGAGAGCUCUUUCUCCCAAAGACAUUUUUGUCUUUUUUGACUUACCCUUUUCAGACAACAGUCAUGCCAGUUGUGCAUGUCCUUUCUUUGGGCACAAUAAAUUUGCAUUGUUUUCAUUGUCCUUAAUUAUU